GAUGAACGCUGGCGGUAUGCCUUACACAUGCAAGUCGUACGAGAGUUUUUAACUCAAGUGGCGGACGGGUGAGUAACACGUAAGAAUUUGCCUUUAGGAGGGGGACAACAACUGGAAACGGUUGCUAAUACCCCAUAUGCUUUCGAGUGAAAUGGAUUUCCGCCUAAAGAGAAGCUUGCGGCUGAUUAGCUUGUUGGUGAGGUAAUGGCUCACCAAGGCGACGAUCAGUAUCUGGUUUGAGAGGACGAUCAGACACACUGGAACUGAGACACGGUCCAGACUCCUACGGGAGGCAGCAGUGGGGAAUUUUCCGCAAUGGGCGAAAGCCUGACGGAGCAAUGCCGCGUGGAGGUAGAAGGCCCACGGGUCGUGAACUUCUUUUCUCGGAGAAGAAGCAAUGACGGUAUCUGAGGAAUAAGCAUCGGCUAACUCUGUGCCAGCAGCCGCGGUAA
Molecule: ribosomal RNA, 452 nt
Filed under: uncultured bacterium
Lineage: Bacteria
Description: bacterial SSU rRNA
Rfam family: Bacterial small subunit ribosomal RNA
Source: RNAcentral